AAAAAAUUGAAAAAAAAAGGCAGAAGAAACCCACCCAUCUCCAAAUUUGACAGUUGGUGAAGCUAAAAACACUAAUAGAAGCGAAACACAUGAACCUAAAAUGUGAGAGCACUAUGCUUUUGUGGAUGCAUAUAGAUAUGUGUCUAUGCACACCAAAGGCAUCUAUACACGAGCAAACUACUCCAUAUAUUUCAACAUAAUUUCUCACAAUAAUAACCAGAACAAGAAAUACAAAAUAGAUACAAACCAAACUUAAAUCUAACCAUAUAAAAUGAAAAUAAACAGAACUUGUAAUGUAAUCUAGCGUAGCAUCAAAUUAAAAAAGGAACCAAAAAAAAAUCAUCAAACGUGACAUAAAUCUUCCAAUUCCAAGAUCCCAAGGAAGGAACCCUAAUUUUAGGAGAAAGAGAGAGAAG
Molecule: unclassified non-coding RNA, 416 nt
Filed under: Hevea brasiliensis (rubber tree)
Lineage: Eukaryota; Viridiplantae; Streptophyta; Magnoliopsida; Malpighiales; Euphorbiaceae
Source: RNAcentral